This is an RNA transcript of Papaver somniferum (opium poppy), 1871 nucleotides long. RefSeq lists it as uncharacterized. NCBI's taxonomy places the organism in Eukaryota, Viridiplantae, Streptophyta, Magnoliopsida, Ranunculales, Papaveraceae. The transcript is spliced from 6 exons. The record is from RefSeq and is a predicted model, not a curated record.
GAAUUAAUCCACAUUACUUCCCACUCCUUUCUUUUCUCUCUGACUUUGCCUUUCUGUAAAGUGGUGGUGGAUAGAGAAAAAGCUAUGGCAGCAUUUUCUGCGAAUAUUAUCUGUCAAACUAAAACUUUCAUUCCUUCAUCUCCUAUUCUCAAAUUCCGAAACCCAAAAUUCGUCUCCAAAUCUGCAUAUAUACGUUCUUACUAUCUCCUUAAUCAAAUUCAUCGGAAUUCUGUUUCCAUGUCUGCCGCCAACGUUGCCUCUGACGUCGAGGUUCAACAAAAUCUCUCUAAUCCCACCACUCCCGCAUGGGAAGAAUUUGCUAGAAAUGUGUCAGGAGAAUGGGAUGGGCACGGUGCAGAUUUCACUAAAGAAGGCGAGCCAAUUGAACUUCCUGAAAACGUAGUACCGGAUGCAUAUAGAGACUGGGAGGUUCGAGUUUUCGAUUGGGUAACACAAUGCCCUACGCUCGCCGAGUCUGAUAAGUCUGCUCUUUUUUAUAAGUUGAUACACCUACUUCCCACUGUUGGAUGUGAAGCUGAUGCUGCAACCAGACAUACCGUCGAUGAGAGACAUAUAGGAGGUGUGGAUAACAAAGUUUCAGCAUUUGCUUAUAACUCAAGUGGAUGUUAUGUAGCUGUCUGGCCAAAGGAAAAUAAGGGUGUCAGUUUACUUGAAUUAGAACAUUGCUUGGUUGAUCCUCAAAAUCGAGAGGUGCGUGUUAGGAUAGUUCAAGUUGUUCGGAUAGACGGGACAGCAUUUUCCUUGUUGAAGAUCAAAGUUUGCCGUGAACAAUGGUAUGGGCCGUUUAGAAAUGGGGAAUCCUUAGGUGGAUGUUCUAUACGUGAUGCCGCAUUUGCUAAAACGGAUGUCAUCAAAGGGUCAGAAGUUAUGGGUACAUGGAAAAGUUCAAAAUGUGUAGCCAGUUUUCAGAGUUCCGAAACUUUGUUUCAGAGUUUUUUCCAAGAACUUGCUGGAGAAAAGAGCCAACAAUCAGUAAGAGAUGAGCAAAAUCUUGUACUGCUUCCCAAACAGUUAUGGUGUUCAUUGAAAGAAACAGGAAAUGGAGAAACUUGUGCAGAAGUAGGAUGGUUACUAGAGCAAGGACGUGCAAUCACAUCAAGGUGUAUUUUCUCAGAAGACGGAAAAUUGCAGGAAAUUGCAGUUGGACAAGAACAUGCAAUGUUGGAGAACAGCCAGUAAAAAUCCAAUGUUUGAGCUCACAGGAAUUCAACUGUAUUUGUAUUGGUCAAUUAUACAUGUACCGCGGAGUAUAGGAAUCAUCCACAAAGUGCUUAGACAAAAGCUAUAGCAAAUUAUAGAUACAGCUACCAAAGCAUCAACUGGGAUCUUCAAGGCAACCGCUCAAAGCUUCACAGUGGGCAAAGGUGGAAGGAUCCAGAAGGCAAUUGUCAAAGAAUAAUAGACUAUGCAACCGCAAUAUAGAACUGAGUAAAGUGGCAGAAUCAAGCAACUUUGAAGGAAGCAAUGAGAACUUUGCAAGGAAGGAAAAGCACUCUUGAUCAGAUUUGCAACAACAGCAUGCCUAAUUUUAUAAAUUCUGCUUUAAUGAUAGAUAAAAACUCAAUUUUAAUUUCUAAUGUAUUUUCAGUUUCCGAGCCAACUGAACUGUUGGAUGAUACCACUAUUUUAGGCACCACUGCUAAGACAGGGGACCUUACAGGGAAUAGUCAGCUCCUUCAUAAAAAAAAAGUUCUAAUUCUCAAAGCACAGAUUUUAUGCAAUGCAUGUACUGGUCAACCUGACAACCUGCAAUCCCUAAAAUCUUCUUCUUCUUUUUUUUUUAAAGAAAGCCAGCUAAUUACAUAAUUGGAACAUGUUUACAAUCACGGUAACCUAUUUCUGUUGAUUGC